This 324-nucleotide unclassified non-coding RNA is filed under the name Hevea brasiliensis (rubber tree). Lineage: Eukaryota; Viridiplantae; Streptophyta; Magnoliopsida; Malpighiales; Euphorbiaceae. The record is from RNAcentral.
CCCUGCCCCAGAAAACCUUCUCAUAGCCUUACCCACUGUCUUAAGUGUAACAAGCUGACCUUUCUUCAUUUCCUCUAACAAUGCCUCCAUCUGAUCCAUUUGUUUCAUUUUCCCCAGAAUGUCCACCAAUGUAUCAUAAGCUUCUGGCUUAUGCUUAUAGCCACGCAACUCUGCCCAUCUAAAGACACCCAAUGCAGAUUUCCAAUCAUCUUUAAAAUGGAACAACAAUCUGUUAACAAGGUCAUGAGAAAGAUGUAUACUAUUACACAUUUGAUCAUGCGCAAGAGAUUGAAGAAUCUCAUCAUGACUAUUCCCAACUCGAAC